GGUUUGCGUGAGGGAUGGCAGUGGAGCUCUCCCGAUUUUUCAUCGGGAAGCGGGAACGUACAGCCCGACCCUUG
Molecule: unclassified non-coding RNA, 74 nt
Filed under: Flavobacterium fluvii
Lineage: Bacteria; Pseudomonadati; Bacteroidota; Flavobacteriia; Flavobacteriales; Flavobacteriaceae
Description: Flavo-1 RNA
Source: RNAcentral